RNAcentral lists this transfer RNA (71 nucleotides) under Mycoplasma mobile 163K. It matches the Rfam family "tRNA". From Rfam's summary of the family: Transfer RNA (tRNA) molecules are approximately 80 nucleotides in length. Lineage: Bacteria; Bacillati; Mycoplasmatota; Mycoplasmoidales; Metamycoplasmataceae. The record is from Rfam by way of RNAcentral.
AGGGGCUUAGUAUAGUGGUAGUACAAUGGAUUCCAAACCCAUGUGCACGGGUUCGAUUCCUGUAGCCCCUG